RNAcentral lists this transfer RNA (74 nucleotides) under Candidatus Avibacteroides avistercoris. RNAcentral describes it as "tRNA-Arg". It matches the Rfam family "tRNA". From Rfam's summary of the family: Transfer RNA (tRNA) molecules are approximately 80 nucleotides in length. Their secondary structure includes four short double-helical elements and three loops (D, anti-codon, and T loops). The record is from RNAcentral. Lineage: Bacteria; Pseudomonadati; Bacteroidota; Bacteroidia; Bacteroidales; Bacteroidaceae.
GGUCCCUUAGCUUAACUGAAUAGAGCAUCUGACUACGGAUCAGAAGGUUACAGGUUUGAAUCCUGUAGGGAUCA